UACGUAGGGGGCAAGCGUUGUCCGGAUUUAUUGGGCGUAAAGCGUCCGCAGGCGGUCUAUUAAGUUUGGGGUGACAGUGCCCGGCUCAACUGGGCAAGUGCUUCGAAAACUGGUAGACUUGAGGGCUUCAGAGGAAAGCGGAACUCCGGGUGGAGUGGUGAAAUGCGUAGAUAUCCGGAAGAACACCGAUGGCGUAGGCAGCUUUCUGGGAAGCAUCUGACGCUCAGGGACGAAAGCUAGGGGAGCAAACGGG
Molecule: ribosomal RNA, 253 nt
Filed under: uncultured bacterium
Lineage: Bacteria
Description: partial 16S ribosomal RNA
Rfam family: Bacterial small subunit ribosomal RNA
Source: RNAcentral